UGAACGCUGGCGGCGUGCCUCAUACAUGCAAGUCGCGCGAACAGAUGCGGAGCUUGCUCCUCUGACGUUAGCGGCGGACGGGUGAGUAACACGUGGAUAACCUACCUAUAAGACUGGGAUAACUUCGGGAAACCGGAGCUAAUACCGGAUAAUAUAUUGAACCGCAUGGUUCAAUAGUGAAAGACGGUUUUGCUGUCACUUAUAGAUGGAUCCGCGCCGCAUUAGCUAGUUGGUAAGGUAACGGCUUACCAAGGCGACGAUGCGUAGCCGACCUGAGAGGGUGAUCGGCCACACUGGAACUGAGACACGGUCCAGACUCCUACGGGAGGCAGCAGUAGGGAAUCUUCCGCAAUGGGCGAAAGCCUGACGGAGCAACGCCGCGUGAGUGAUGAAGGUCUUCGGAUCGUAAAACUCUGUUAUUAGGGAAGAACAAAUGUGUAAGUAACUAUGCACGUCUUGACGGUACCUAAUCAGAAAGCCACGGCUAACUACGUG
RNAcentral lists this ribosomal RNA (495 nucleotides) under uncultured bacterium. RNAcentral describes it as "partial 16S ribosomal RNA". It matches the Rfam family "Bacterial small subunit ribosomal RNA", at positions 30 to 507 of the family's 1533-position model. The record is from RNAcentral.